RNAcentral lists this ribosomal RNA (424 nucleotides) under uncultured bacterium. RNAcentral's name for it is "partial 16S ribosomal RNA". It matches the Rfam family "Bacterial small subunit ribosomal RNA", at positions 360 to 776 of the family's 1533-position model. The record is from RNAcentral.
AAUAUUGGACAAUGGGGGGAACCCUGAUCCAGCUAGGCCGCGGGUGUGAAGAAGGUCUUCGGAUUGUAAAGCACUUUAAGUUGGGAGGAAGAGUUGUAGGCUAAUACCUUGCAAUUUUGACGUUACCAACAGAAUAAGCACCGGCUAACUUCGUGAGAGCAUCCUCGGUAAUACGAAGGGUGCAAGGGUUAAUCGGAAUUACUGGGCGUAAAGCGCGCGUAGGUGGUUCGUUAAGUUGGAAGUGAAAGCCCCGGGCUUAACCUGGGAAUUGCUUUCAAAACUGACGAGCUAGAGUACGGUAGAGGGUAGUGGAAUUUCCUGUGUAGCGGUGAAAUGCGUAGAUAUAGGAAGGAACAUCAGUGGCGAAGGCGACUACCUGGACUGAUACUGACACUGAGGUGCGAAAGCGUGGGGAGCAAACAGG